AAACCAUGGAUCGAGCAUUUUCUGAUUAACUCAUUGAGUCGCUCCUAUGCUUCAUAUAAUGUUUCGUCUUCAAUUGCCAAAAGAACGUAAUAUCAUUCCUCAAUUU
This is a non-coding RNA of Gossypium hirsutum (cotton), 106 nucleotides long. The record is from Rfam. Lineage: Eukaryota; Viridiplantae; Streptophyta; Magnoliopsida; Malvales; Malvaceae.